This 191-nucleotide small nuclear RNA is filed under the name Echeneis naucrates (live sharksucker). Its description in RNAcentral is "U2 spliceosomal RNA (ENSENLG00000000692.1)". It matches the Rfam family "U2 spliceosomal RNA". From Rfam's summary of the family: U2 is a small nuclear RNA (snRNA) component of the spliceosome (involved in pre-mRNA splicing). The record is from Rfam by way of RNAcentral. Lineage: Eukaryota; Metazoa; Chordata; Actinopteri; Carangiformes; Echeneidae.
AUCGCUUCUCGGUCUUUUGGCUAAGAUCAAGUGUAGUAUCUGUUCUUAUCAGUUUAAUAUCUGAUACGUCCCCUACCCGGGGACCAUAUAUUAAAUAGAUUUUUGGAACAGGGAGAUGGAAUAGGGGCUUGCUCCGUCCACUCCACGCAUCGACCUGGUAUUGCAGUAUCUCCAGGAACGGUGCACUCCCU